ACUCCUACGGGAGGCAGCAGUGGGAAUAUUGCGCAAUGGGCGAAAGCCUGACGCAGCGACGCCGCGUGGGGGAUGAAGGCCUUCGGGUUGUAAACCCCUUUCAGCAGGGACGAAGCGAGAGUGACGGUACCUGCAGAAGAAGCGCCGGCUAACUACGUGCCAGCAGCCGCGGUAACACGUAGGGNGCAAGCGUUGUCCGGAAUUAUUGGGCGUAAAGAGCUCGUAGGCGGUCUGUUGCGUCCGCUGUGAAAACUCGGGGCUUAACCCCGAGCCUGCAGUGGAUACGGGCAGACUAGAGGUAGGUAGGGGAGAAUGGAAUUCCCGGUGUAGCGGUGAAAUGCGCAGAUAUCGGGAGGAACACCGGUGGCGAAGGCGGUUCUCUGGGCCUUACCUGACGCUGAGGAGCGAAAGCGUGGGGAGCGAACAGGAUUAGAUACCCUGGUAGUCCACGCCGUAAACGUUGGGCGCUAGGUGUGGGAUCCUUCCACGGAUUCCGUGCCGCAGCUAACGCAUUAAGCGCCCCGCCUGGGGAGUACGGCCGCAAGGCUAAAACUCAAAGGAAUUGACGGGGGCCCGCACAAGCGGCGGAGCAUGUUGCUUAAUUCGACGCAACGCGAAGAACCUUACCAAGGUUUGACAUGCAGGGAAAAGCCGUAGAGAUACGGUGUCCGUAAGGGUCCUNCACAGGUGGUGCAUGGCUGUCNUCAGCUCGUGUCGUGAGAUGUUGGGUUAAGUCCCGCAACGAGCGCAACCCUCGUCCUAUGUUGCCAGCGGAUAAUGCCGGGGACUCAUAGGAGACUGCCGGGGUCAACUCGGA
RNAcentral lists this ribosomal RNA (817 nucleotides) under uncultured Actinomycetes bacterium. RNAcentral's name for it is "bacterial SSU rRNA". It matches the Rfam family "Bacterial small subunit ribosomal RNA", at positions 335 to 1167 of the family's 1533-position model. Lineage: Bacteria; Bacillati; Actinomycetota; Actinomycetes. The record is from RNAcentral.